GUCCAGGCAGCGGCGGCCUGCCAGCCUGCCUGCUUGCCCAGAGUGGCGGCGGCCAGCCAGCCUGCCUGCCUGCACAGGGCAGCGGUGGCAAGGCAGCAAGAAGGCACACCACUCCCGUUAACAUCCAUUUGAGGGUUGAAAAUCAGACUUUCUUGACAGUUCAAGAGUGUAAACCGAACUUUUCCCAGCAGAAAAGGGUGAAAACAAGUUUAGAUCGUGGCCAUACUAAAACUAGCCAAAACUCUACAUAUGAUGUGCGGGGCCAUAUGCUAAUAAUUUAUUGUUUAUUAAAAUAAAUUCAAAUGAUAUGUGGUUUUCUAGAUCUAACUGCUACGAAUAUUUUGGUACAAUCAAUUUGCAAAUCGGAUAUAUGGUUUAAGACUUAUUGUCAUUUAAGUAUACUUGGUCUCAAACUCUUAGAUUCUAUUGAAGGACUGCCAAUUUUUACAGACACAUUUUUGUAAGAUUUUUGUGGACUCAAAAGUAAACACGCCCAGAGGCAGGAGCGUCAGCAUUUUUAUGAAACUAAUUAAGGCUAUGGAAUGUGGUAUCGAGGAGUUCUCGGAGUCUCAGAGAGACGGAGACAAGAGUGGAAGGACAAGAUGGGACGUCAAGCAAUUGAGCAUCAAGAUGUAAAGAGAGGACGGUGCGGUCUAUUUUUUUUCUGGGUCCCUGUUGACGCGAAGGCAGCUUUUUAAGAGUGUGAUUGCUGGUGGGGCCGGUGUUUAGUCUUGAUCUUGCUGCCGCUGUCGAGUGGAGUGGUGUUGUCGAGUGAAGUGGUGUGGUCGCGUUGAUGUUCCAAUCCAAUCGAUCGGUAUUUUUUUUUA
Molecule: long non-coding RNA, 827 nt
Organism: Panicum hallii
Lineage: Eukaryota; Viridiplantae; Streptophyta; Magnoliopsida; Poales; Poaceae
Exons: 2
Source: RefSeq, a predicted model, not a curated record